ACGUUUUGAAUAUGCCCGGGCAGGACGAAACCAUAGGAAACUCUGGUGGAGGUCCGUAGCGGAUCUGGCGUGCAAAUCGAUCGUUAGACCCUGGCCUAGGGUCGGAAGACUAAUCGAAUCAUCUAGUAG
Molecule: non-coding RNA, 129 nt
Filed under: Stegodyphus mimosarum
Lineage: Eukaryota; Metazoa; Arthropoda; Arachnida; Araneae; Eresidae
Description: Eukaryotic large subunit ribosomal RNA
Rfam family: Eukaryotic large subunit ribosomal RNA
Source: Rfam by way of RNAcentral